Molecule: long non-coding RNA, 269 nt
Organism: Cyprinodon tularosa
Lineage: Eukaryota; Metazoa; Chordata; Actinopteri; Cyprinodontiformes; Cyprinodontidae
Exons: 3
Source: RefSeq, a predicted model, not a curated record
GGGGACAAUCAGGAAGGGGUGUAUAGGUCCUGCCCACUUCAUCUUGGGGGGUAGAAAAGAGUGGAAAGGUGCUUGAACAAAGAGUUUUGUGAGAGCAUCGGGUUGCUGCUGAAGAUGAAUAUAAUAGCUGCUGUUUUCUGCAUUUUCCUAAAUCAGGUCUUUAGCCAAACCAAUGAUUUUUCUCCUUUAAAGAUCCUAGCGCGACAGAGAGCUGUGAGCGAAGGCAGUGACAUUUAUGUAACCUGCAGCAUUCACGGGCAAAAGAUAAA